UCCCUGGUGGUCCAGUGGUAAAGACUCUGUGUUUUCACUGCAGGGGGCACAGGUUUGAUACCUGGUUGGGGAA
This 73-nucleotide transfer RNA is filed under the name Bos taurus (domestic cattle). It matches the Rfam family "tRNA". Rfam says of the family: Transfer RNA (tRNA) molecules are approximately 80 nucleotides in length. Their secondary structure includes four short double-helical elements and three loops (D, anti-codon, and T loops). RNAcentral also lists the same sequence under 6 other names. Lineage: Eukaryota; Metazoa; Chordata; Mammalia; Artiodactyla; Bovidae. The record is from Rfam by way of RNAcentral.